GUCUUGUUUUUCCUCUCCUCGUACCUUGCGGCAGCUCGCCAGCCGGGCUGGCCGUCGGCCACCCCUCCCCCGUUUUCCCUUUUGUGCGGGCACACGGCUUGGUAAACGUGAGCCGGGAUCGAACGGACAUGGCUUCCAAGCCUAAACGUGGGCCUCCGCUAAGCGAUCAGAGCCGCUACUACGAAGGUACCGGGUCCACUCCCAGCCAAGCGGGAUCGCUCUGAAAUUGCCAGCGAGCCACGAAAGAGGCAGGAAGAGAGACAUCCGGUUCUCCCAAGAAGGCGUGACGACCAGCCAUUUUUCUUCUCCCGCCUCUCUUGUUCCCUUUGUUUUUAUUUUUCUACAUCUUUUUCAUCUGCAACCAAAUCUGUCGCCUUGCUUUCGGAGCAGUUUCCAAAGAGAGACCACCCCCAAAGACCAGGGGCCUCAUGUACAAAAGAAUCGUAGAAACAAGAGUCCUCUCCCCCUACCAACUACAAAAGCGUGCCUCUGCCAUCGGCCCCCUUCCACCUUCAGCACUGGACAACAGAAGGAUAAAGCGGCCAUUCGUGUUGACAUCACGGGAGCCGGGAGCGCAAGGAGGGAAGGAGGGGAGCGCUUUGUACUGAAAUGACUUGGUCCUCACCCACCUUGCUACUUGUUUUUCCAAAACCACCUCCAGGGCUGAUGCCUGCUCUCUUCCGGCUGGCGAACAAGCACUCCGAGGCGGGCAAGCCAGUGGAGUUCAAAAUUUUGCAUUAUUAACUAUGAAACUGAACUUUGAACUAGUUCGCAUAGAAAAUGAAUUUCCCCAACAAUGUUAGUGGUGUUAUGUAUAUAUUUUUUUCUCCAAUCAGAUUUCAGCCUCUAUGUGUGGCCAUGUCAAUGUAAUCUGCCUUCAGACUCAGAAGUGCAGGCUCAUGAAACAUACUCACUAUUAGCAAUUGCUGUUUUGUUCUUUUUUGAAAAACAAAUCAAAUUUCAGAUUCACCACUGUUGGCCUGUGCAGGGUUUGCAUUUUCCAUCCUCUGAUUAGUUGAGCUAAAUAGUCUUGCGAUGUGCACAAUGGGUGACCGGGGAGGAUGAAUAACGUGUAUUGUUCGACUACAUUUUCAAGACGGCCUUUUCAAGAAAAUCUUGUGAGGAUAGGUUGGCCAACAUCAUUGCUGGCUGGCUAUUUUCAACCCAGCAAAGGAUUUAUUCUGCACUUCCAAAGCGGCACAUAUGAGCAACUAGCUUACAGGCAAUAGCCAAGAAAGGAGGUGGAUUUUAUCUAUAAAUAAUCAGCAUCCCUGGCACCUCCUGAGGUCUGAUUUGCUGACUCCAUCUCUGUGCCUCCUUACAGAAUUUUUCAUAGCUACAGUCCAUCUGAGAUUUCUGUAUAUAUUUUUGCAUUGCUUCUGAAGGCUAUUUCCUAUUAAAUCAAUUUCAUCCCUGUGCCACAAAUUGAGCCUCUCCAUGUAACACGAUAGCAAGCACACAUUCAAGACAAGCACACGAACACAUUCAGGCAUGGAAACAAGACAUACCCACGUUUCUUUCCUCCUGCAGGCAGGUGCCUUGGACACAAAUACAAAUUGGACAUGUCUGUAAGAAAACCAGCCCAGAUGCCAGUUGUACAAGCCACUUAUUCGGCCACACAUUAGGAAAUCCAAUAUGGAUGUGUUAAAUGAAUCCUAGCAGAGACAGAAAGAGCAAGUGAGGUGAGGGUAGCGAGCGAGGAAUACAGACAGGACGCGAGGCAGCUUGUUGAUUACUCUGGUGUUUAACAUGAGGAAAUGCCAGAAUGAAAACAGACCUCAUAUAACCUUGUCAACUGCCUUGUUAGUUUGGUGGUUUAAAUUUCCAUUUGUAUAAACUGACUGGGGAAUAUGUGGCUUGAAGUUGUAACCUUUCACAGAGCAACAGUUGCACACACUCAAACAUAUCAACAUUAUAUCAAGAAGUAUGGAGACGUGGUACAUAUUGUUUGCAAAACCGCACGCAUGGAUUUAUCUGUGUUGACCAAAUGUCAUCCAUGCACAUACUCAGUUGUUGCUUUUGUUGCUACCUUGACAAUCUCUGGACUCAAUUCCCUGUUCUCACACCUGUGAAGGAGAGGAGGGAAAAGCGAUAACCACCAAUUGCGACUGAAGAAGCAAACAAUUGAGCAUUUGCGUCCAUGACAAGGUCACUGAAUACCUGCCAAACAAAAUCUAUCACACUCCUUUUCCUGGCAUAGAAGGGCAUUCCAAGUUUAAUAAAUGGAUUUGUGGCAACUCAAAAUGGCAAUUGUGUGUAAAAACGAAAAAAAUGUCCAUUGUUGUCAAAUAUACUACAGUAUACUUGGUCUGCAUGUUUGUACUGUGCAAUGGAAUCAUGAAAUAUACUAUAUAUAAAAUGUUUCCUGCUUAUUCUAUUCAGAGUACAGUUUGAUAAAAUAUGAUUUCAUGUACCUGUACUGCAAUCCCAAAUAUGGUUGUGAACUGAGUAACCAUGCCAAAACUUCGGCAAGACAUGACUUCUCCAUGACCUUUCUCUUAAUAAAACACCUCAUCAUACACCUCUGGAGACAUGCAUUCAUAAGCACCACAAGCUCUAAAGUAACGAUAACAAUAGAGCACAGUCUCUACUCUAUGGGCUGUCCUCAUUUGACAAACCUUAGUUUAAUCACCCUCUAGAGGUAGUCAGAGUCAGAAGCUGCAAUAAUAAACGUUGCAGGCAUUCCUGCAUGACUGUGAAGGGACAAGAAUAGCCCCUGAAGUCAUAAUCAUGCCGUCACGAUCAGACCUCCAGUCUUCAAGGGGGCAGUAGCUAU
Molecule: long non-coding RNA, 2776 nt
Organism: Phyllopteryx taeniolatus (common seadragon)
Lineage: Eukaryota; Metazoa; Chordata; Actinopteri; Syngnathiformes; Syngnathidae
Exons: 4
Source: RefSeq, a predicted model, not a curated record